CGGCAUCCCCAUUACCUAUGGACACGGUGCCAAAAGCUCUCUUGCGGGAGUUGUCCCCGGAGCUUGCCGAAAGGUUUCCCGUGUCCCG
RNAcentral lists this non-coding RNA (88 nucleotides) under Chlorobaculum tepidum TLS. RNAcentral describes it as "SAM-Chlorobi RNA". It matches the Rfam family "SAM-Chlorobi RNA". Lineage: Bacteria; Pseudomonadati; Chlorobiota; Chlorobiia; Chlorobiales; Chlorobiaceae. The record is from RNAcentral.